RNAcentral lists this ribosomal RNA (292 nucleotides) under uncultured bacterium. RNAcentral describes it as "partial 16S ribosomal RNA". It matches the Rfam family "Bacterial small subunit ribosomal RNA", at positions 505 to 796 of the family's 1533-position model. The record is from RNAcentral.
GUGCCAGCCGCCGCGGUAAGACGAACUGUCCUAACGUUGUUCGGAAUCACUGGGCUUAAAGGGCGCGUAGGCGGUCCAUCAAGUCAGGGGUGAAAUCCUGCAGCUUAACUGUAGAAGUGCCUUUGAUACUGAUGGUCUGGAGGGAGAUAGGGGUGUGUGGAACUUCCAGUGGAGCGGUGAAAUGCGUUGAUAUUGGAAGGAACGCCGGAGGCGAAAGCGACACACUGGAUCUCUACUGACGCUGAGGCGCGAAAGCCAGGGGAGCAAACGGGAUUAGAUACCCUCGUAGUCC